UGUGAAAGAUGAGCCUGGGAACAAGGU
This 27-nucleotide non-coding RNA is filed under the name Rattus norvegicus (Norway rat). The record is from RNAcentral. Lineage: Eukaryota; Metazoa; Chordata; Mammalia; Rodentia; Muridae.